RNAcentral lists this transfer RNA (68 nucleotides) under Marmota monax (woodchuck). RNAcentral describes it as "tRNA.Gly". Lineage: Eukaryota; Metazoa; Chordata; Mammalia; Rodentia; Sciuridae. The record is from RNAcentral.
GGAUUGUGGCUCAGAGGUAGAGCGCUCGCCUACCGCGUGUGAGACAUUGGAUUCGACCCCCAGCACCA